Molecule: ribosomal RNA, 843 nt
Filed under: uncultured bacterium
Lineage: Bacteria
Description: bacterial SSU rRNA
Rfam family: Bacterial small subunit ribosomal RNA
Source: RNAcentral
AGAGUUUGAUCCUGGCUCAGGACGAACGCUGGCGGCGUGCUUAACACAUGCAAGUCGAACGAUGAAGCACCAGCUUGCUGGUGUGGAUUAGUGGCGAACGGGUGAGUAACACGUGAGUAACCUGCCCCUCACUCUGGGAUAAGCCUGGGAAACUGGGUCUAAUACUGGAUACGACCGAUCUCCGCAUGGAGUGUUGGUGGAAAGUUUUUGUGGUGGGGGAUGGACUCGCGGCCUAUCAGCUUGUUGGUGGGGUAAUGGCCUACCAAGGCGACGACGGGUAGCCGGCCUGAGAGGGCGACCGGCCACACUGGGACUGAGACACGGCCCAGACUCCUACGGGAGGCAGCAGUGGGGAAUAUUGCACAAUGGGCGAAAGCCUGAUGCAGCGACGCCGCGUGAGGGAUGACGGCCUUCGGGUUGUAAACCUCUUUCACCAGGGACGAAGCUAACGUGACGGUACCUGGAGAAGAAGCACCGGCUAACUACGUGCCAGCAGCCGCGGUAAUACGUAGGGUGCGAGCGUUGUCCGGAAUUAUUGGGCGUAAAGAGCUUGUAGGCGGUUUGUCGCGUCUGCUGUGAAAGACCGGGGCUUAACUCCGGUUCUGCAGUGGGUACGGGCAGACUAGAGUGUGGUAGGGGAGACUGGAAUUCCUGGUGUAGCGGUGAAAUGCGCAGAUAUCAGGAGGAACACCGAUGGCGAAGGCAGGUCUCUGGGCCAUUACUGACGCUGAGAAGCGAAAGCAUGGGGAGCGAACAGGAUUAGAUACCCUGGUAGUCCAUGCCGUAAACGUUGGGCGCUAGGUGUGGGACUCAUUCCACGAGUUCCGUGCCGCAGCUAACGCA